Molecule: transfer RNA, 71 nt
Filed under: Priacanthus macracanthus (red bigeye)
Lineage: Eukaryota; Metazoa; Chordata; Actinopteri; Priacanthiformes; Priacanthidae
Also listed under: 1 other name
Description: tRNA-Ser
Rfam family: tRNA
About the family: Transfer RNA (tRNA) molecules are approximately 80 nucleotides in length.
Source: RNAcentral
AAGAAAAUGGCAGAGCGGUUAUGCAGCUAGCUUGAAAUUAGCGCACGGGGGUUCAAUUCCCUCUUUUCUCG